This 640-nucleotide ribosomal RNA is filed under the name Staphylococcus aureus. Its description in RNAcentral is "partial 23S ribosomal RNA". It matches the Rfam family "Bacterial large subunit ribosomal RNA", at positions 2275 to 2925 of the family's 2925-position model. The record is from RNAcentral. Lineage: Bacteria; Bacillati; Bacillota; Bacilli; Caryophanales; Staphylococcaceae.
UGGGGCGGUCGCCUCCUAAAAGGUAACGGAGGCGCUCAAAGGUUCCCUCAGAAUGGUUGGAAAUCAUUCAUAGAGUGUAAAGGCAUAAGGGAGCUUGACUGCGAGACCUACAAGUCGAGCAGGGUCGAAAGACGGACUUAGUGAUCCGGUGGUUCCGCAUGGAAGGGCCAUCGCUCAACGGAUAAAAGCUACCCCGGGGAUAACAGGCUUAUCUCCCCCAAGAGUUCACAUCGACGGGGAGGUUUGGCACCUCGAUGUCGGCUCAUCGCAUCCUGGGGCUGUAGUCGGUCCCAAGGGUUGGGCUGUUCGCCCAUUAAAGCGGUACGCGAGCUGGGUUCAGAACGUCGUGAGACAGUUCGGUCCCUAUCCGUCGUGGGCGUAGGAAAUUUGAGAGGAGCUGUCCUUAGUACGAGAGGACCGGGAUGGACAUACCUCUGGUGUACCAGUUGUCGUGCCAACGGCAUAGCUGGGUAGCUAUGUGUGGACGGGAUAAGUGCUGAAAGCAUCUAAGCAUGAAGCCCCCCUCAAGAUGAGAUUUCCCAACUUCGGUUAUAAGAUCCCUCAAAGAUGAUGAGGUUAAUAGGUUCGAGGUGGAAGCAUGGUGACAUGUGGAGCUGACGAAUACUAAUCGAUCGAAGAC